RNAcentral lists this ribosomal RNA (459 nucleotides) under uncultured bacterium. Its description in RNAcentral is "partial 16S ribosomal RNA". It matches the Rfam family "Bacterial small subunit ribosomal RNA", at positions 338 to 795 of the family's 1533-position model. The record is from RNAcentral.
UCUACGGGUCGCAGCAGUGAGGAAUAUUGGUCCAUGGGAGAGAUCCUGAACCAGCCAAGCCGCGUGAGGGAAGACGGCCCUAUGGGUUGUAACACUCUUUUGUCUGAGAACAAAACCCGGGACGUGUCCCGGACUGCGUGUAUCCGAAGAAAAAGCAUCGGCUAACUCCGUGCCAGCCGCCGCGGUAAUACGGAGGAUGCGGGCGUUAUCCGGUUUUAUUGGGUUGAAAGGGUGCGUAGGCGGUCCGUUAAGUCAGCGGUAAAAUUGAGGGGCUCAACCCCGUCGAGCCGUUGAAACUGGCAGACUUGAGUUGGCGAGAAGUACGCGGAAUGCGCGGUGUAGCGGUGAAAUGCAUAGAUAUCGCGCAGAACGCCGAUUGCGAAGGCAGCGUACCGGCGCCAGACUGACGCUGAGGCACGAAAGCGUGGGGAUCGAACAGGAUUAGAUACCCGAGUAGUC